CGACUCUCGGCAACGGAUAUCUUGGCUCUCGCAUCGAUGAAGAACGUAGCGAAAUGCGAUACUUGGUGUGAAUUGCAGAAUCCCGUGAACCAUCGAGUCUUUGAACGCAAGUUGCGCCCGAGGCUAUCCGGCCGAGGGCACGCCUGCCUGGGCGUCACGCCUCGCGUCGCUCC
This 173-nucleotide ribosomal RNA is filed under the name Liriope muscari (big blue lilyturf). RNAcentral describes it as "5.8S ribosomal RNA". It matches the Rfam family "5.8S ribosomal RNA". Rfam says of the family: 5.8S ribosomal RNA (5.8S rRNA) is a component of the large subunit of the eukaryotic ribosome. It is transcribed by RNA polymerase I as part of the 45S precursor that also contains 18S and 28S rRNA. Lineage: Eukaryota; Viridiplantae; Streptophyta; Magnoliopsida; Asparagales; Asparagaceae. The record is from RNAcentral.